CUGGCUCCCGCGGCCGCCGCCCUGGGCCCAUCUGCCUGCGCCGCUCGGGGCCAGAAGCCCCAGGCGCUCCUGUGCCGAACUGGUAAAGGAGGAGAGAGAGAAACUGGUGGGGAUAAGGUUGGAAACCAGGGAAGGAGAAGCCAACCGUGGGAAAAAGAAAAGAAAGCGCCAGAUAGAUAAGGAUAGAGCAGAGAGAGAAGAAGAACAGAGGAGAAAGGAAAUAGGAUUUCUCAAGGACCUUUGCAUAAAUUUAGAAAACUGCAGGGGCUCGUUCGUAAAGUAAAAUUUCCCGUUGAUUUAAAACUCAAAUGAAGAAAUGCCCAAAAUGAAAGUUGGAGAGUUUUUCAAACUCUACAACAUUGCUUUAGGGCCCAAGUUCAAAAACUCAAAAUUUGUAUUUUUACACGUGAAGUUUUGAAUAAAAGUUGGAUUUGUAUUGUGUUUGUCCUAAAGAACGAAAUUUUAUAAAAUUCAGGACCUAAAUGCAAGCAUUUAUGACACGUCAUAAUGACGGGAUAGAAUCGUCAUAAUGAUUGGAUAGACGUGUCAUGAUGACUUGCAUCUUUUGCACUUUAGUCCCAAGUAAUUUUGAAAGUUACUUUUGUAAAUCAAUUACUUUGCAUAAAAGGGCUUGUACUUUUAUAAAAUUACAUAAGCACCCUUAUUUUCACCAUUUUACCCAAAAUUUUUACAUAUUUCAACACACGCAUUUCCAAUGCAACUUUCGAGUAAAUAUAUAUAUAUUUUUACAAAACAUAAGGUAAGAAAAAUAUAUUUGCAAAACCACCCUUUACUCAUUUCAAAAUUAUCUUAAUACAAAUACAUUUUACAAAAACAACCUUAGGUUUUUCUGUAAUUACAAAAAUACCCUUUUUACUUGCACUUUUAAGUUUUCGAAAGUUUCACAUAACACACAUGAGCUCUACACUAACAAACACAUAUUUCACACUAACAAAAUAUUUGCCUAGCAUUACAAAUACAUGAACUGUCACAGCCUUCCCCCCUAAAAAGAAUCUCGUCCCGAGAUUCGGACGAAAGACUCUUAAGGGAAGAGAAGUAAAUCACCCAUCAAAGGUAGCAGAAAACAAUCACACAGAGAAGAUUUGAGGUUGAUGACGAGAGCAUGAUGAGAUGAGUAUAACGAGAACAUGAAAAGAUUGUACAUAGAUGAGUUUGACAAGAUAAGAGAUUAUACAUAAGGACGAUAAAUGUCGAUGACAUUCAUCACAAAACUCAUGGAUAACAAGUAAGGAUAGUACAAGGGAUUGACAAAGUGAUGUUUGAAAUAUUCUUGCUCAGAGUUUGUUACCUGAAUGAUUUAAAUGAGGUUGAUUGUAAAACAUGCCUAUUGAUGCUGAUGCAAUCAAGGGAUAAUGAUAAGAUGCUUCAAUUCAGAGUGCAAUGCUCGGUAUAUAACCUUGAACAUGAUGCACUGCUGAGAUGUAUGAUUACAAUGAUGAUGCAACAUGAGGAUGAGGAAUCCCAUGCAUGACCAAAAUGAUGCAUAUGCCACAAUGCAAUUACCAUGAUGUUGACCAAAUGAUGUAUACACCAUGAUGCAAGGAUGAUGAUACUUGCAAUGUAUGCUCGUAUAAAAUGCAUGAAGUAUGAUGCAUACCCUCAUGAGUUGAUGAUGCAUAUGACUUGCAUCCUACAACCGUUCUCUCGGAACUAACACCUGGGUAGUCCUAUAUCCUUAGACAAAGAUUAAAAGUUAGGACACUAGUAAGGUUGCAUAAGAAGAGUUUGCAGUGUUGUUACGUCACAUGUACCUAGUCACCAGUGCGCUCCUAAUGGCUCAAUCAUAUGGCUGCAGCACACAUGAGGCCUUAGGUUCCGACACGGCAUCAUGGUCAUGUGAUUAAACACCACCGCAAAAGAGGAAUAACAACCCUAUAGUGCCAAUAGAAACAAGAUAGACUUAGGAAACUCAAGACAACCUAAAGUUAUACUAGAGGCACACCCUUAGUCACUCUACGGAUUUUCCGAUGAUGAUGCAACACCAUACACUAACCAAAGAUGGUACAUGUUAUGAUGCAUGACUUUUGCCGGGAGAAUUGUAUGCAAAAAGUAAUCAUUGUCAUACAUCUUUUAAAUUUAUCCAAAAUCAUCUGAGCAAAAAUUGAAGGUGUAACUUUCAGAUGUUGUAACCAGAAUAACCAAAAAUAUAAGGUACAACAUCGAGAGAGGAUAGAUGGAUCACUAAAUGAUGGAUUGAAGGAUUUGAUGAUAACCAUCAAGGUUUAACCAUCAAAGAAGAAACUCAAUGUUUCUGCCAAAGCAUAUUCAAAGCGAAAUCAAGGGUUUGAUUUAGCUGUCGAGCUAAGAUCGGCGAUAAGGUUCAAACUAGCAGAUUAUGUUGGCUCCUACAACACAAAGUCUAGGCAAGCAUUCAGAUACAAGCACAUAUUUCAGUACAUCAACGUAGCAAACAAGGCAAUCGAAUCAAUCCAAAAUGUCAGGAUGCAUGCAGGUUGUACACGUCCUCACAACCAAAAAUAACUGCCAAGUAAUCUUGGCCUUACGUGGUUAAGUACGGUGGCAUCAUAUAAAUACGUCUCUCCAUAUAUAUAUACUAGUCGUUCUUACGUUCAAGCUUACGUAACGAGGUUAGCAUACCUGCAGAAAAUCACAAUAUAUAUAUAUUGAACCUUUCAUGCCAGCAUGUCAUGAAAGCGCCCCCAAUCAUUACUGUUCACUAUAGAAACAGCAUCUGUACAAUUACCGCCGUACAGACAACGUUAGCAUACGUUAUCGAAACAACGUAUUCACGGGGGGUACCGCAAAAUGCGGGGGUAUGAUCUGCGAUCGCCAUACCCUGCGCCGAACCAUCUACUCCCAAUGUAGUCAACCGAAGUUGUUACAUUGGCAGCAUCUCAAGUAGGCCACUGCUUGAGAAACAGCGUUCGGUUCGCAUCACCGACAGGAAGGCCAAGCUCCCUCAGUUGGCUGAGGAUCCUUACCUUCUUACCUCAUCGUCGAAGAUGUCGUUACAGAAUAUAAGGUUGAGUUGUGCAUGAAUUUAAGUUUUAACAGAAAAGUAAUGCUGGAAGUUAGGAUUAUAUAUAUAUACUAUAGCCACCUCUAUUUCCCUCAUAAACAUUACCCUAGGGCUUUACGUACUAAGCUCAAUCCUUAACGAAUCCAACGUAGUUUUGCCAAAUACUUUGUUGGUCAAACUUUUAUACUGAAAGUAUUUUUAAGGUAAAAUGUAUCUCCAGGGUAACCUUAUAGCUCUGAUACCAGCUGUGGCUGAACCAACCUGAAUUAUACCGGCUCAAGUACGCGAGUCCACUCCAGAGGGCUCCAACGUGCUUCAAACGGUAUAAUCCCUUGGCCUGUCGGGUAACGUCCCGAUAAACCACCGAUACACAGGAUCAAAUAAGGUUACCUCACACGAAGGUGAGUCCAGAGAUACAAUCACCAUCAUAUUUUACAUCAUAGAGAAUUACAUUACAAGAGUUUCCAAAAAGAAGUAUGAAGUUUCACAUUUAGAGAAAAGAUUACAAACUGUAAAACUAGGGUUAAAAGCAGCGGAAAACAUACGCGAAGAAUUACAACACGUCGUCAAGGUGGAUGUCAUGCUAAGCCCAGACACGACAUCACUCGAGAUCAUCAGUAUUGGUCGGGGACGGAUCCCAUUCCUCGGACUAAUCUUCUGGAAAAGCACAGGGCCAUGACAAGGGAAGAAUAGGGUCUUCAAAGGCUUUACCUGAAAAACAUAAAGCUAGCAAGGCUGAGUAUACUAAUACUCAGCAAGGCUUACCCGGGGUUGGGUAUACUUAGCCCAUAACUAGACUUAUGAAAGCUUAUAAUGGUUCUGGGUUUAGUUUCAGCUGAAAAGCAACAAAGAGUAGAUCCUUAACUUCAAGUUUUAGCUUUCAGAUUCUAGUUAAUUAUCCAUUCUAGGUAAGCACCUAUGACUAAGCAAGCAUGGUAUAAUCUUUGGUCAAACAUCAUCUUUGAUAACCAUAAUAUUGCUCUUGUUACUCUAUGUGGAAAAGGGGAUAAGCAGUCUCAUUUCAUCGUGAGAGGCGGACGAUUCCUGAAUCGAGAUUCAACCUUGCAAGGUAAACCUAACUCACACGCUUGGAACACCACAGGGUCGUUCCGAAGCAACCGUUUACCUUUCAUUCCGACUCAUGGAUCAGAUCCACCACAAGCGACUGCAGGAACAUACGCACUUCCAAAGUGCAGGACAUACGUCUGUAGCGCGACUACAAAACCCGUAUUCCUGGUUGCCCUUGCAACACGUAUUUCCUCAGUCGAACAUAAGUAACCAGAAGAAGCAAAACAAGUGGUGGGAGGUAUGUCCACUCCUCGGGCCGAUUGGUUACUAGGCUUACCGCUUACCAUAUUUCGCGGCAUGUGGUUAGUACUUUCAAACACUUAACCCGCACUUCCACACGCUGCGACCUUAACAGAUUCAACAACACAGACGGGGUAUCACCUCAACCAUGAUACCUCACAGAACUCCCGUCCGGUAUCCUUAUAGUGAUAACAGGAAUGUAAACAUUACAACUCCUAUAUCGCGCGAGUGACAGGAAAUCACCCGACUUCUACCGGCCCUAUUAGCAUAGCAGCUAGUCGGACUCAAGAGCUAGUAUCCAUCACAUUGGUUCCUAGGAGAAUGCAACUAGGGUUUCAAGCAAUUCCUAAGAACUUAAUGCAUAGAAUACGUAAAUAGAUAUAGAUUGCAGUGUAAUUAAAAUAGUGGGAUAUGUCCGGGGCUUGCCUUUACUGGUGGGUCUGAAGUCAGAAAUGUUAAUAUCUUCCGAACUUUGGUUCGGGGCUUCCGAUAUUCCCCUGGUGACAUUUACUUGAUCUUCAGGAAUAUCCCCCGUAGACUCUGGGGAGAUCUCGUAGGUACCGUUGCUGAAGUAGUCGUAUCUACAUGUAAUGCAACAUUACAUUCAAGCGUGCACACAAAACUAUUUUAUUUCACAGCAAAAUUGCAAUCCAGCACUUAUAUAACACACUAUUCAUAUAACAACCAAAAGAUCUGAACUAAACCUAGAUAGAGCUUUAGGGGGACAACUAACUAGAAUCAGCUACUUGUUGAGAGUUACAACAGAGCCGAUUGGAAACAACGGGGGGUUUAGCUGAUUGAUGUGCUUAGGUCGUGCCUAACAGAGGCGUGUCUAAUGUGCGAUCUUAUUGAUCUAGGGUUGUGUACUUUGGUUUGUGUAGAAGAUUGAUAGGUACACCGGUUUCCUGAUUGAUCGAUGAAAACAUCGAUCACUUUAGCAGAGGGAUGAUUCCUAAAACAGUUGUCUUAACUGAGAUGUGCUUAAGUGUUAUUCUAGGUAACUAAGUGUGGUUGUAUCGACUCGAUUACGUCAGCACAACUAUUGAGUGACAUACAGUCAAUUGGAGUGUGAUUGAGGAUACAUGACUGAUAGAUAUAGAUAGCCGAUCUCUCAGUCGAUAAAUCGGCUGAUAGAGGUGUGUGGAAUGGAGAUAGGAAAACUAAGAUUGAUCGGCCGUGUUUGACCGAUAUGGCAAGGCAACCAAAAUCGGCUUGGGUCGGCCGAUAGCAAGAACCCUAAGAUCGUGUGUGUCUCUUCGAUACAUCGACUCUGUGUAGUCGAUGUAGGACAGAACAACAGACUUGUAUCGGCAGUAGUCGAUACUAGAAAGGUAACAAUCGUAUCAGCUAACCAGCUGAUAGUAGAAGCAUAUCACAAGAAAUAUAUCGGCUGAUAGCUGUUACGCAGAAAUAUUCUAAACUCAAAGGAAACGAAUGUUUAGCGGUUGAACUGAUAGUCGACGUUGAAGCAUAGCCGUAGAGGUGUAUAAGCUAAGCAACAAAAGUACAUAAACUAACAGGGAUCCUUUUACGAAAAGGAUCUUAAGGAAAUGGCAAUCAAAACAAGGAUAACGUCUUAACGGUAAGGAUAUGAGCACUUCGUGGGAAAGGAUUAACUAGAUAUCGCAUAUCUCUACUUAUGACAUAACUUCUAUAGCUUACGCUUUAGCUAUAAUACAAGCAUACAAUAUAAAGCACAAUAAAACAUUCAUUCCCUAACAUUUGACCUAGACCACACAUCAAAGAUCUCAACUCAAGAUCAUAACAUAAAACUUGUAGAGUUUGACUUAGGGUUUCAAACGAAACUGAUUUUACAUUUUUAUGAACUUCCUAUGAAAAUCUAUGAAAUGUAGAGGUCAUCGAUUUGAAAUACAGAAAGCUUUGGAAAUUUUACAAAGAACACCCUAGAACUUUCCAAAAUAUAGCAAUCAAGUCCCUGGUCCGGGAGAACAGAUAACAGGAAGUUAACGAUGAUAUUCCGGCAAAGGGAUUGCCGGCAUUAAAAGAAUUUAAUAAAACAGGGCAAACCUUGGGGUAGUCUUGGUUGUGGAGAAGAACAGACGGAAAGUGAAUUCCCGUGGCGAACAAGAUUAGCGAGGAGAAGAGCUCGACGGUGACGAAGAGUAGAAGUUGCUAAGUGUCGUGGAUCAUGGGACAAGACAAUGGAGCCGGAUUGGUUCGCUAGGUUGACUCUUCCACAAGCCUCAGGGUUUCCUUGCUCACGGCCAAGCCUCCACUGUUCACGCGCGUGUGCUGCAGAAACAUGGUCCGCACACUCGCGUAGCCUCCGGUAGGAUCACCGUGCUUGGCCGCAUCUUCUAUGUGCUGCUUCCGUUUCGACCUCUGCAUGGGUGGAGGGAGCUCGUCGUGUCUGGCUACUCCGUGGCUCCUCCGAGCUUGUUACGCCCAGUCGUCGCCUUCGCUCCGUAGCUUUUCUUUCCGAUUCGCCAUGCCAUACUCACACCUCCGCCUUCGCGAGGACCGUGGUCUGUCUGUAUUAGGGCCGUGUCUUCCACUGCCUUUUCCUCGACGGCCCCUAAUAUCCAUCACGCGCGACCCUCCUGCACUCAACUCGGUCGUGGCCUGAGCUCGCCCAGCGGGAACACUGCCAUGCGUUGCACGUUGCCGCUCUGCAUGUCGUUGCUCUGCUCGUCAAUGCUUUGCAUAGCUCCACCUCUUUCCUCUGUUGCCGGGCCCGCGCUUCGCUCCGGCCGCUCAACAGCUGCCCACACCGCCAACUCCCGCACGCCAUCGCGCGCACUCUCGCGCCACUCGCUCGGUGCCGCUCACAUUCCUGCCGCUCCAGCACCUGCGCUUGCCCACUCACGCGUGCUGCCUGGAGCCGCCGGCGUUCUGUUCCACCCGCGCACGUGCCUGUUGCGGCCGCCGUUUCCGCUCUGGCGCCGCUCUCCCGUGCACGUCGCGCCCAUACACACCCGCACCGCGCGCGCGUCGUCUUCGCCGUGCCGCCCGCCGUUCAGGGCCCACGCCGGUCAUCCCUGCCUGUGCGCCGCACCUGGUGCCUUUGCCGCUCACCUGCUCCCUUACUGCCACUCGCCCUCCUGUGCCCUGCUUGGGCCGGCCAGCCCGCGCGCCUGCGCUCGCGCACCCACGGCGCACGCCUGCUCCGCUCCUGCGCGCCACCGGAGCCGCGCCGAGCCGCUCUCGCGCAGCGCCCAGGCCUCCCGCGCACGCACGCGCCAGCACGCCCGCCAAGCCGCGCCACCAGCUGCCCUGCGCCACCAGCGCCGCCCGCAUGCCGCGGCUCACGCGCGCUGUCUCGCCAGCCGAGCCGCGCACCGCGCCUGAGCCCGCGCCCCGCGUGGGCCGCUCGCCCAGCGCGCUGCCGCGCGCCGCCGGCCCGCCACUGCCUGGGCCUGUGCCGCUGCUGCCGCCCGGCCGAGCCAGCGCCGCCGCGAGCUGCAGCCGCCCGCGCGCGCCUGGCUCCCGCGGCCGCCGCCCUGGGCCCAUCUGCCUGCGCCGCUCGGGGCCAGAAGCCCCAGGCGCUCCUGUGCCGAACUGGUAAAGGAGGAGAGAGAGAAACUGGUGGGGAUAAGGUUGGAAACCAGGGAAGGAGAAGCCAACCGUGGGAAAAAGAAAAGAAAGCGCCAGAUAGAUAAGGAUAGAGCAGAGAGAGAAGAAG
RNAcentral lists this long non-coding RNA (7952 nucleotides) under Panicum hallii. RNAcentral's name for it is "long non-coding RNA (PHAL_LNC000776)". Lineage: Eukaryota; Viridiplantae; Streptophyta; Magnoliopsida; Poales; Poaceae. The record is from RNAcentral.